AUGAGGUGUGGCUGAUACAGAAAAUAUGAUCCGAAUAUAUGAAACGAACGGACAAGAUGAUUUCUCCACAAAAUAAGCUCCUGCUACUCUUCACCUUGUAAUCCCAUUUUCUGGGCGAAACUCUUUCUUCCACCAUCAUUCCCAUUUUCCACACCCUAAUUUCAAUACUCUUUUCUCUUCAAGGUGUAUCUCAGAAGCUUGAUGCUCUCGGUGUUGAUUUUGAAUUCAAGGUAAUUUUAUGGGGAAUGUACUCGGUCCGAACAGUACCAAGGCUAGAGGAAGUGUUUCAACGAGCGAGGUUUUGCCGGGUGAAGCUUGCAAGCGACAGAGAUUGUUGUCGACUUCUGAUGAGGAUAACUCUAGACUGAUUCCUUCUCUUCCUGAUGAGAUAUCGGUUCAGAUUCUGGCUAGGGUACCUCGCGUUUGUUACUUGAAUCUAAAGUCGGUUUCUCGCACUUGGAAGAUGGCGCUUGGGAGUUCGGAUCUGUUUUGUUUGAGAAAAGAACUUGGAACAACGGAGGAGUGGUUGUAUGUAUUAACAAAAGGUAAUGAUGAUACGCUUUUAUGGUAUGCCUUAGACCCAAUUUCGGGAAGAUGGCAAAGGUUACCUCCAAUGCCGAAUGUAUUCGUUGAAGAUGAAGCCAAAAAUGGUUUGGCGGCGCUUCCCCGUCGGAUGUGGAGCUUGUUGGGUUCGAGUAUUAGAAUUGCUGAUGUUUUCAUGAACUGGCUUAGAAGGAGAGAUGCGUUGGAUCGGAUGCCGUUCUGUGGUUGCUCUAUUGGGGCUGUUGGUGGUUGCAUUUAUGCUUUGGGAGGAUUUUCGAAAGCUUCGGCUAUGAACUCUGUUUGGAGAUAUGAUCCUGUUAAGAAUGCUUGGACUGAGAUGAGUCCAAUGUCGGUUGGCAGAGCCUACAGCAAGACGGGUAUAUUGAACGAUAAGCUUUAUGUUGUUGGAGGGGUUACUAGGGGUCGUGGUGGAUUGAAUCCUCUUCAAUCUGCAGAAGUUUAUGAUCCGAACACUGGUAUGUGGUCCCAAUUACCAAACAUGCCUUUUUCAAAAGCUCAGGUGCUACCGACAGCUUUUCUGGCUGAGUUGCUCAAGCCUAUUGCCACGGGAAUGACUUCAUACAGGGGAAGGUUGUUUGUUCCUCAGAGUUUGUAUUGUUGGCCAUUUUUUGUUGAUGUUGGGGGAGAAGUUUAUGAUCCGGAUAUAAAUUCUUGGCUUGAAAUGCCGGUUGGGAUGGGUGACGGUUGGCCUGCAAGGCAAGCCGGAACGAAAUUGAGUGUUAUUGUCAAUAAUGAUUUAUAUGCAUUAGAUCCUUCAAGUUCUCUCAACUCUGCAAAGAUAAAGGUAUAUGAUGAGGAAGGUGAUACUUGGAAAGUUGUUGCGGGAGAUGUUCCUAUUCAUGAUUUUGCUGAUUCAGAAUCUCCUUAUCUUUUAGCUAGUUUACUUGGAAAACUCCAUGUGAUUACGAAAGAUGCCAAUCACAACAUUGCAGUCUUGCAAGCUGGCAUGCAAAAUCAUUUAGCUUCCUCUCAGUCGAUGGCGUCGUCAUCUGAUAGCUCAUUCGGCCAACUUGCUGAAUCAUCAGCAGAAUCAGAGACAGAACUUUGGAGGGUUUUUGCUUCUAGGAGUGAUAGAUCUGCUGAGCUAGUUAGCUGUCAAUCCCUUAAAGUUUAAUUUUUCAGAGCUAAAAUUCUCGUGGUUCUGAGAUCAUUAUGCCUGUAGUAGCUGUUAUCAUUGCGGACAACCCACAAUGUUAACAACAAUUUCAAAUUAGAAGGUAAAGUUGUUGACUGAAACAAGCCUACUCUACACUCUCACAACCCAUUGGCAUGUCUGAUUAUUGAAUAUUGAAAAUACCGGGAAGGAUGGAUCCUGUACAGCUAUCUUCAAAUUGGGACCCAUUAGCAGCUGCAUGUGUUGAGACAAAUCAAUAUCACAUGUGACAAGGAAGAAGAAGAAGAAGACUACAAUCAGACAAAUAUGAUUAUGAAAUAGUAUUUGUUGAAUACCUGAAGACGAGAAAUGUCACAUUGCGCACCGUCCGAAACAAAAACUUCAGAAGGUCCAUAUCCUUUAUAGCCCUCUGCUGUUGAAAGGCCGCGAACAAACUGCAGAACAUCGUAUGAAAAGGAAAAAUGUUCUGUUAUUCUAGUAAGUUACUUUUAUCCGUUUCUGGUAGAGGAUAGUUUCUAAACAAGCAUGAUAGAAUUUUCUGUCUAUGAAGCAUGAUAGUUUAUGUGUAUUUUCAACAGAAAGAAUCUUCAUAACUUACAUCAACCAUGCUUGAUGUUACAAGUGUUGGUAAAGGUUCUGUAGUGUCACCAAUUCCAAGGUCUAUCAGAUUUGCAUUUGGAUACUUCUUUAAGUGAAGAAGCUCAUGUCUUUCAAUCUGAUGCAAAAUCAUAUAAAAGAUAUAUCAUAAAAUUCUAACAUGUGUCAUUUGACAAAGUGAAAUGUCCAUGACAGUAAAAAAUCUUGCCCAUGACAGUGAAUAUUUUAUUGCUUCUCAAAAUAUUAAGUUUUUCAUGAUAACAAUGUUCAACUGAGACAGAAAAAUUAUAUUUGAACAGAAUGUUAUUGAAGAGUACCUCAGGAAAUAAAUAACCAUGUUGCAGUUUCUCCAUGUUUACAUUCCUAGGUACCUUUGUGCAGUGUCCUGAACAUUACAGACAGUCAUAAUGAUAAGUGAGGACUAAGAAAAAUGAAGAAAAUAAAUCCAUACAAAAAUUGUGCAUACUGCAUACCAAUUCUGACACUUUGAUUCUUCAAUGUGCAUGAAAACCUGUAAUUAUCAUUAGCACACACAAGUCAUAAACAAAAGAUGAUAUAUUUUGAUUGUGUUAAGCUAACAUUUUCAAAAUUUGUUUUUACCUGUUCACUAACAUCCUAGGCUGCAAAGAAUUUGGACUAAACAUUGAACUCAAAUUUGAUGUCUUGUACAUUUUAUGUUCUCAAAAACCAGAGGCUUUUUUUUU
Molecule: RNA transcript, 2979 nt
Organism: Lathyrus oleraceus (garden pea)
Lineage: Eukaryota; Viridiplantae; Streptophyta; Magnoliopsida; Fabales; Fabaceae
Gene name: F-box/kelch-repeat protein At1g22040
Exons: 5
Source: RefSeq, a predicted model, not a curated record